GAUGAACGCUGGCGGCGUGCUUAACACAUGCAAGUCGAACGAAGGCAUGGAGUUGAUUUCCUUCGGGCCUUAGCAACUGGCGACUGAGUGGCGGACGGGUGAGUAACCUGUGGGUCACCUGCCUUUUACCGGGGGAAAAUCGGAGGAAACCGCUGCUAAUUCCGCUUAAGCGCACGGCAUCGCAUGAUGCAGUGUGAAAAACUCGGGUGGGAUAAGACGGAUGCGCGUUGGGUUGGCAAGUUGGGGAGGUAAGGGCCCACGAAGGCGACGAUCCAUCGCCGACAUGUGAGCGGGGCCGCCGACCAUGGUACUAAGGCACGGCCCAAACUCCUACGGGAGGCAGCAGUGGGGAAUAUUGCACAAUGGAGGAACGUCUGAUGCGGCGACGCCACGUGAGCGAAGAUGUUUUUCUGUAUGUAAAGCGCUAUCAACGGGGAAGAUUAUGACGGUACCUGACUAAUAAGCACCGGCUAAAUACGUG
Molecule: ribosomal RNA, 481 nt
Filed under: uncultured bacterium
Lineage: Bacteria
Description: partial 16S ribosomal RNA
Rfam family: Bacterial small subunit ribosomal RNA
Source: RNAcentral